AGGUCAGCAUAGACCAAGUGUUCCAGUGUUAGGAACGCAAAAGACUCAAAAGAAGUUGUCUGAAUUCCCACUUCUUUAAAUAUUUACUGAAUGGCUUGUGUGAUAAAAGAUCUUAAGCGGUUGAAAGUCAAAACAUUUCUAAUGUGUAUGCCUUCUUAUAAUAGCAUUUGUUUCAGUACCUAGUCCUCCACUUUGAAAGAGUGAGGCAUGGACCCAUAGUCAUAAUAGUUGAUGGUACGUUCACCCCUUGUUGUCUUGAUACAAACUUUUAUCCUUCUUGUUGUAAUGGGCUUGCUAAGAGUAAAAAUCUUUCCUCUUACCAAGAGACAUAUACGUUUGGUGACUUAGCGAGUAGCUAAAUGAGGCAGGAGAUGAUGCAAUGGGUGUCUGAAUGGCCAAUAUCUCCUCACUUGGUAGAAUUUGACUUCCGAUUCCCACUUGUUGAUAGGGGUUAACCAUAUGGGGGUUCCCUUUGUAUGUCCUUGCUUCGGCAGAAGCGUGGUUGUAAGCUUGUGCCAUCACCUCAGAGUAAGUCUUCCAAGUGUUGGCAUUGAUCAUGUACUUGAAAAAACAAUCACGUAGGCCUGCCGUGAAGGCCUUGAAGGCAGUCUUGUCAUCUGCCUCAGCGCAGCGAGAAUAAUCAUGGCUGAAACGACCGGCAUACUCUCAUAGUGACUCGUCCGGCUUCUAUCGAACAGUGAACAAGUCAUCUGCAGAAUGCAAGCGAUCGGUCUGGAAGAUGUGUUAAGAGAAAAACAGUUUCCUCAAUUCCUCAAAUGAGUCUACUGUUUCAGGUGGAAGACGGCAAUACCAGUUUAGAGCUCCGCCAGAGAGGGUGGAGGGGAAGAGAAGACAUCACUCUUCGUCAGUGUGCAUCCGAUAUGCCAUGGUGGACUCAAAAAGGUUAAGGUGUUCAAUUGGGUCCUCCCUUCCAGUAUAGAGUUGUAAACUAAGCUUUUGUUUUGUCUUUGCUUGAAUUGGGUGUCGAGGAUCCUUCUUGUGAGAGGGCCAGGCCUGGGUUGGUUCCAGUCAAGUAUCUCGGCCUGACGUUCGGCCUUCAACUUGUUUACUUCCUUAAGGAGCUGUAGGACAAGGGGGUCCUGAAUGGAGUCAUGUACCACUGGAAUUUUCUUUCAUAAGUCUCCAUCGCCUCUUGGAAGUAGGAAAGUUUGAGCAAGGGCAUGUGGUUUGUUCUUAGACUCGCCGUACUGACUUCUAAGGCGAGUCUAUCAGAAUACCUCAGAGUCCCCUGUACCUUCAUAUUCCUCUGAAACCUGUCGUUUCUUCCCAAGAUUGGCAGUUGGUCUGGGUCAUGGGAGGGGACUGAGUCUUUCAGAAAC
RNAcentral lists this long non-coding RNA (1340 nucleotides) under Malus domestica (apple). RNAcentral describes it as "long non-coding RNA (MDOM_LNC013837)". Lineage: Eukaryota; Viridiplantae; Streptophyta; Magnoliopsida; Rosales; Rosaceae. The record is from RNAcentral.